GGGUGAGUGUCUGAGUGGUUGAAGGUUCCAGUUUUGAAAACUGGUAAGAAUUUAUAUUCUUCAAGGGUUCGAAUCCCUUCUUACCUA
This 87-nucleotide transfer RNA is filed under the name Thraustochytrium aureum. RNAcentral's name for it is "tRNA-Ser". It matches the Rfam family "tRNA". Rfam says of the family: Transfer RNA (tRNA) molecules are approximately 80 nucleotides in length. Their secondary structure includes four short double-helical elements and three loops (D, anti-codon, and T loops). Further hydrogen bonds mediate the characteristic L-shaped molecular structure. tRNAs have two regions of fundamental functional importance: the anti-codon, which is responsible for specific mRNA codon recognition, and the 3' end, to which the tRNAs corresponding amino acid is attached (by aminoacyl-tRNA synthetases). tRNAs cope with the degeneracy of the genetic code in two manners: having more than one tRNA (with a specific anti-codon) for a particular amino acid; and 'wobble' base-pairing, i.e. permitting non-standard base-pairing at the 3rd anti-codon position. The record is from RNAcentral. Lineage: Eukaryota; Bigyra; Thraustochytrida; Thraustochytriidae.